AUACAAUUCUAUUUUUCGCGUCGUGUCACGAUGAAUACGAGCUUUAAUAGAGCAGAAUCGGCGAACGCUCGUUAUCUCGAAUGUGCACCAGCUGUGCGCGCCCGAUUCGAUUAUUUCCUACGAACCACAAAGACAAGCCCGAGGAUGCUCCAUAACCGCACGUCGAGAGCUAAUCGAUCGUACGACAUUCAUCUGACACGAAUCCCACGAUCUUUGGAUCUUUGGAGCGCAAAGUUUAGUGGGCAACUGCAAUCAAUGACGCUCGAGGAUAAUACAUCUGCGAUUAGAAUAAAUGUUGAUGUAAAAAUGCAACUACAAUCCGUUAUGUCGGCGAUCCCUGCAGAUUACUGAUGAAACUCUUUUGAGAAGAAAAGGCAGCUAAAUUUAGCGACGAAAAAAGUUGAGCAAGGAGAUCCUCUCAAAAGAAUGAAGAAAAGAACAGGAAUGGAAAGAGAGGAAGAAGAAAGAGAAAAAUAAGCGAAGAGAAAGGUGAAGGAGAAAAGAGGGAGAAAUCAAGGAGUAUGGUUACACUAUUUGUGUCUAAGGAGAAACAUGGGCGCAGAGAUUUAGGGGCACCACCUUUUGACAUG
Molecule: long non-coding RNA, 590 nt
Organism: Camponotus floridanus (Florida carpenter ant)
Lineage: Eukaryota; Metazoa; Arthropoda; Insecta; Hymenoptera; Formicidae
Exons: 3
Source: RefSeq, a predicted model, not a curated record